ACUCAUUUUGAGUUUGUGAACAUCAGUGGAUUUAAGACGAAUCUGAGUUUUCUUAUCCGUGUAACUCACUUUUAACUAAUUCGUUAUCUUGAUCAGGAUCUUGUUUGUGUUACUUGCUAAAAACAGAGGCAUAGCAAGAGUUCAUUGCAGAGAGAUGGUCUAAUAACAUGUCUCAAAUUAGAUGUUCUCAGGCUAAGAUGUAGAAGUGAGCAGCUGCUUACAUUUAUGACAACCUGAAUUGUUGUUUUGUGACUAUUUCAUUGGAAUUAAAGACAGCUCACAAAAAUUAUUUAUCAGCUGAUGGCAUACCUCACUUAAUUGUUUCCAUUCCUUACAUCUACAGAGUAUGAAGGGAACUCAGUAGGGAAGGUCUGCGUCUUUCCUUUCAUUUAUAAUGGGACGAUAUACAAUACCUGCACCAAUAAAAAUAAUUCUGAUGGACAAUUUUGGUGUGCUACAACCGGGAACUAUGACAAGGACAAGCAGUGGAGCUACUGUGCUGAUACAAGACUAGGUCCAAACCAACCCUGUAUUUUCCCUUUUACCUACAAUGGAAAAUCAUA
Molecule: non-coding RNA, 563 nt
Organism: Anolis sagrei ordinatus
Lineage: Eukaryota; Metazoa; Chordata; Lepidosauria; Squamata; Anolidae
Source: RefSeq, a predicted model, not a curated record